This 1021-nucleotide long non-coding RNA is filed under the name Ananas comosus (pineapple). RNAcentral's name for it is "long non-coding RNA (ACOM_LNC016243)". The record is from RNAcentral. Lineage: Eukaryota; Viridiplantae; Streptophyta; Magnoliopsida; Poales; Bromeliaceae.
UAUUAUAUGUGAGAAAAUAAUUUAGAAGUCGCGCGGCUGCAAUACAUAAUUAUAAAUACCUAUUCCGAUUCCCCAUCUAUCUAUUACAUGUACUCUAUACUUUUUGGUCCCGUUUGGUUUGCGAGUAAAAUGAGGAUAACGAAAGUUCUCCCGCUAUUCUACCGAACGAGGUAUUAUUAGGGGUGGAAACGAGCCGAGCUCGAGCGAGCUUAUGUCAGCUCAAAUUCGGCUUGAAAUUAAUUUCGAGCCUAAAUCUAGGCUCAAGCUCGGCUUGAAAUUAAUUCGAGCCGAGCUCGAGCGAGCCUAAUUUCGAGUCGAGCCGAGCUCGAGCUCUAAACGAGCCGAUUGAAAUUCUCGACAUUAUAUAAUCAAUAGUUUAAUUUUUAUAGAACAUUACCUACAAUUUGAUGCAACAUGUCCAAUAGUUCAAAAUACAAAAUAAUUAUAAGAAAUAUGAGCUAGGGUGACUUCCUGACUAGAUGAGGGUCUGAGAGAGAGAGAGAGAGAGGAAAAAAAGUAGGGAUUUGAAAAUUUAAAUGUUAUCAUGUUUUAGGGUUAUGUGCAACAGUGAAAGUCUGAAAGAGAGAGUGUGUUAUGUAAAUUUAGAGUUUGGCUCAAUUGCACGGUCGUACUUGUUGGGUUUAUUUUAUGGGCCAACAAUAAUGGCCCAAAUUAAAUUAAAGCCUAUAUAUAAUUAAAAUACAUUAUAUAUAUAUAUAUAUAUAUAUAUUCGAGCUUUUCGAGCCUAAUUCGAACGAGCCGAGUAAUACUCAAGCUCGGCUUGAAAUGAAUUUCGAGCCUUUUAUUUUGUUCAAGCUCGGCUCAUUUAAUUUCGAGUCGAGCUCGAGCGAGCCGAAUAUCGAGCCGAACACGAGUCGAACGCGAGCCGGCUCGCUCGUUUGCUAGCCCUAGGUAUUAUUUGGUUGGGAUAAAAUAUUCCGAUCACACCUAACUAUUCCUGGUUAUUUAAGAAUAGCUUAGAAUAGACUAUUCCAUCCUUUUAGUGGAAUAGGGCUAUUCU